GGGUUGUGAGGUUAAGCGACUAAGCGUACACGGUGGAUGCCCUGGCAGUCAGAGGCGAUGAAGGACGUGCUAAUCUGCGAUAAGCGUCGGUAAGGUGAUAUGAACCGUUAUAACCGGCGAUUUCCGAAUGGGGAAACCCAGUGUGUUUCGACACACUAUCAUUAACUGAAUCCAUAGGUUAAUGAGGCGAACCGGGGGAACUGAAACAUCUAAGUACCCCGAGGAAAAGAAAUCAACCGAGAUUCCCCCAGUAGCGGCGAGCGAACGGGGAGGAGCCCAGAGCCUGAAUCAGUGUGUGUGUUAGUGGAAGCGUCUGGAAAGGCGCGCGAUACAGGGUGACAGCCCCGUACACAAAAAUGCACAUGCUGUGAGCUCGAUGAGUAGGGCGGGACACGUGGUAUCCUGUCUGAAUAUGGGGGGACCAUCCUCCAAGGCUAAAUACUCCUGACUGACCGAUAGUGAACCAGUACCGUGAGGGAAAGGCGAAAAGAACCCCGGCGAGGGGAGUGAAAAAGAACCUGAAACCGUGUACGUACAAGCAGUGGGAGCAUGCUUAGGCGUGUGACUGCGUACCUUUUGUAUAAUGGGUCAGCGACUUAUAUUCUGUAGCAAGGUUAACCGAAUAGGGGAGCCGAAGGGAAACCGAGUCUUAACUGGGCGUUAAGUUGCAGGGUAUAGACCCGAAACCCGGUGAUCUAGCCAUGGGCAGGUUGAAGGUUGGGUAACACUAACUGGAGGACCGAACCGACUAAUGUUGAAAAAUUAGCGGAUGACUUGUGGCUGGGGGUGAAAGGCCAAUCAAACCGGGAGAUAGCUGGUUCUCCCCGAAAGCUAUUUAGGUAGCGCCUCGUGAACUCAUCUCCGGGGGUAGAGCACUGUUUCGGCAAGGGGGUCAUCCCGACUUACCAACCCGAUGCAAACUGCGAAUACCGGAGAAUGUUAUCACGGGAGACACACGGCGGGUGCUAACGUCCGUCGUGAAGAGGGAAACAACCCAGACCGCCAGCUAAGGUCCCAAAGUCAUGGUUAAGUGGGAAACGAUGUGGGAAGGCCCAGACAGCCAGGAUGUUGGCUUAGAAGCAGCCAUCAUUUAAAGAAAGCGUAAUAGCUCACUGGUCGAGUCGGCCUGCGCGGAAGAUGUAACGGGGCUAAACCAUGCACCGAAGCUGCGGCAGCGACGCUUAUGCGUUGUUGGGUAGGGGAGCGUUCUGUAAGCCUGUGAAGGUGUACUGUGAGGUAUGCUGGAGGUAUCAGAAGUGCGAAUGCUGACAUAAGUAACGAUAAAGCGGGUGAAAAGCCCGCUCGCCGGAAGACCAAGGGUUCCUGUCCAACGUUAAUCGGGGCAGGGUGAGUCGACCCCUAAGGCGAGGCCGAAAGGCGUAGUCGAUGGGAAACAGGUUAAUAUUCCUGUACUUGGUGUUACUGCGAAGGGGGGACGGAGAAGGCUAUGUUGGCCGGGCGACGGUUGUCCCGGUUUAAGCGUGUAGGCUGGUUUUCUAGGCAAAUCCGGAAAAUCAAGGCUGAGGCGUGAUGACGAGGCACUACGGUGCUGAAGCAACAAAUGCCCUGCUUCCAGGAAAAGCCUCUAAGCAUCAGGUAACAUCAAAUCGUACCCCAAACCGACACAGGUGGUCAGGUAGAGAAUACCAAGGCGCUUGAGAGAACUCGGGUGAAGGAACUAGGCAAAAUGGUGCCGUAACUUCGGGAGAAGGCACGCUGAUAUGUAGGUGAAGCGACUUGCUCGUGGAGCUGAAAUCAGUCGAAGAUACCAGCUGGCUGCAACUGUUUAUUAAAAACACAGCACUGUGCAAACACGAAAGUGGACGUAUACGGUGUGACGCCUGCCCGGUGCCGGAAGGUUAAUUGAUGGGGUUAGCGCAAGCGAAGCUCUUGAUCGAAGCCCCGGUAAACGGCGGCCGUAACUAUAAC
RNAcentral lists this ribosomal RNA (1929 nucleotides) under Escherichia coli. Its description in RNAcentral is "bacterial LSU rRNA". It matches the Rfam family "Bacterial large subunit ribosomal RNA", at positions 1 to 1946 of the family's 2925-position model. The record is from RNAcentral. Lineage: Bacteria; Pseudomonadati; Pseudomonadota; Gammaproteobacteria; Enterobacterales; Enterobacteriaceae.